ACAGCCAAAGGAGGAUCCUUUGCUUCAGAUGAUCCUGGAUCAUGGAGCCAUGAAGAUGUUGAUAGUUGGAUAUCAGGAACAGAUGAUGUCAAUCACUAAUGGAUCACAGUUGACCAGGGGAAACUAAAAUCAUGGGAAACAAAACCAUGGAUAAGGCAGUACUACUGUAUACAGUUGGCCCUCCAUAGCCAUGCACUCUGCAUCAGUGGAUUCAAUCAGCCAUGGAUAAAAAAAUGUUUGAAAAGUUUAAAAGAAUGGUUGUUUCUGUACUGAACAGGUUAGGUGUUCAAGCUGUGUUAAAUCACAUCCCUGAUGUUUAUGUGGUCAGGAUAUGUGCCCUUGAGUGACCAAGCAGAAGUCCAGGAUACUCCUUAAGGCUUGUCCGUCUAACAGGCUCCCAGGUGAUGCCAAUACUGAUGUUACACAGACCAUACUUCAAGGAACAAAGACUUAAAGCAAGUGUCUUCUUCUGGGGCCUGAGAAAAAUGUUUAUGUGAAGGUGAUUUAUUUGGUAAUAUGAUACCAGGGAAUAGGAAUACAGGGCAGGUAAGUGACACAGAGAAGGAAUAAAAGCCAAUACAAGGAUAGAUGAUCAAGUUGGCCGCUAGUGUGAAUAACUAGUGACCAGUCCCACUGGGAAUUUUUGCAGAGCUUUAUGAAAUAUAUGUCAAAAUUUGCUGCCUUGGGGAUAAUAGGGGGAAAAUUUCUAUCAGAUUUUGUUCCCAUUGGCCAAGGGUGGGUCCAUGAGCCCGCACUUCCAGGUUGCACAUGAAUGCUUGCAGAGACUUUUACUAUGACAGUCCCAUCUUUACACAUCAAAUGAAUCCCCAGAGUAUGAAACAGAAAUAGUUACAACAUGGACCAAGACAAUGUGCUGUUCAAGUUGCUCCUCCAGGAAACUAGUCAAGGCCUACUUAAAUCAGUUGUCACAGAAACUAUGAACGACUAAGAAGAUUUUGAAGUGAUGCAUGAGAACUCUAAGAUGCUUUAGUAUGACUAUACAAUGCCCUGAGCUGGAGCACUUGGCCACAAAACUCAUGUCUCUUGGAGGCAAAAGCCAAAUGACCUUUCCAGCAGUAUGCAACAUUGCUUUUCCCAAAGCAAAAUCAUGAUUUUGCCAUGCUAAUGGUAAAACCAUAGGCACAUUGCCAGACAAUGUUUCUAGGAAGAAAAGAAUGUUUUGUUUUGUUUUUCUUCUUUUAAGAUUAAUAGAUGACCUUUAAGGGACUGGUAAA
Homo sapiens (human) is the source of this 1235-nucleotide long non-coding RNA. Ensembl annotates it as long intergenic non-protein coding RNA 2165. The record is from Ensembl. Lineage: Eukaryota; Metazoa; Chordata; Mammalia; Primates; Hominidae.